RNAcentral lists this long non-coding RNA (362 nucleotides) under Setaria viridis. RNAcentral's name for it is "long non-coding RNA (SVIR_LNC006066)". Lineage: Eukaryota; Viridiplantae; Streptophyta; Magnoliopsida; Poales; Poaceae. The record is from RNAcentral.
UGUCACUAGUAAGGUUUUUCUAAAAAAAAUUGUUUGCAGCAAAUAACGCAAAGACAUAUACAAGAAGACAAACGAAGGGGGUCCUAGAAAUGACAUAAAUCCGGCUGAGAAUUAUUGUUGCGAGCCACACUUGUUAAAGCGGACCAUCGCCAGAGUCGUCUAGUAGUCCUAGCAAAGAAAAAGAAAGGUAUCGUCUGUAGCGAGUAAAACAAUCUCCUCUUCGCAAAAGGAAUCAUCACGCAUCCGUUGUCUCCCCACCAUUAGUUCGUCCUCUCUCAAUCCGUCCAGAUCGUGGAGCUGGAGAUCUGUUCCAUAUGCUGCAAGAGUACAAGUAUCAUACGGGCAUUACAGUGUACACCCAC